UUUCAGACAUAAAGCUGAAAA
Molecule: non-coding RNA, 21 nt
Filed under: Caenorhabditis elegans
Lineage: Eukaryota; Metazoa; Nematoda; Chromadorea; Rhabditida; Rhabditidae
Source: RNAcentral